AACACUUCCCUCUGGAGUGUAAACCCAACAUUAUACUGUCUUGCGCUGCAGAGGGAACUGUAUAGCGUAAGCUCAGGAAAUUUGCCCCCUCCCUCAAUGU
Molecule: non-coding RNA, 100 nt
Organism: Chelonoidis abingdonii (Abingdon island giant tortoise)
Lineage: Eukaryota; Metazoa; Chordata; Testudines; Testudinidae
Source: RefSeq, a predicted model, not a curated record